This 21-nucleotide microRNA is filed under the name Lotus japonicus. Its description in RNAcentral is "lja-miR5287a-3p". The record is from miRBase by way of RNAcentral. Lineage: Eukaryota; Viridiplantae; Streptophyta; Magnoliopsida; Fabales; Fabaceae.
UUUGCUUAUAAUAGUGACCGG